AAAAAACAGAGCUAGCUUGAGCGCUAAACUAGCGAAAAGAGACAAAGAACAGAAGACAAUAGAGCGAGCUUAAGCGUUAAACUAACUAAAACAGAUAAAGAACAGGAGACAACAGAGCUAGCUUGAGUGCUAAACUAACUAAAAGAGACAAAGAACAGGAGACAACAGAGCUAGCUUAGGUGCUAAACUAACUAAAAGAGACAAAAACAGGAGACAACAGAGCUAGCUUAGGUGCUAAACUAACUAAAAGAGACAAAAACAGGAGACAACAGAGCUAGCUUGAGCGCUAAACUCACCAAAAAAGACAAAUAACAGAAGACAACAGAGCUAGCUUGAGCGCUAAACUCACCAAAAAAGACAAAUAACAGAAGACAACAGAGCUAGCUUGAGCGCUAAACUAACUAAAACAGA
Non-coding RNA from Xyrichtys novacula (pearly razorfish), 411 nucleotides. The record is from the annotation of a GenBank genome assembly. Lineage: Eukaryota; Metazoa; Chordata; Actinopteri; Labriformes; Labridae.